This is a non-coding RNA of Triticum aestivum (bread wheat), 163 nucleotides long. The record is from Rfam. Lineage: Eukaryota; Viridiplantae; Streptophyta; Magnoliopsida; Poales; Poaceae.
UUUCUACUCCCUCCGUCCGAAAAAGCUUGUCCCUAGAAUGGAUGUAUCUAACACCAAGUUAGUGGUAGAUACAUCCAUUUGAGGAACAAGUUUGAGACAAGGUAGAUACAUCCAUUUGAGGAACAAGUUUGAGACAAGCUUUUUCGGACGGAGGGAGUAAUUG